Non-coding RNA from Dipodomys ordii (Ord's kangaroo rat), 65 nucleotides. NCBI's taxonomy places the organism in Eukaryota, Metazoa, Chordata, Mammalia, Rodentia, Heteromyidae. The record is from Rfam.
GGUGGCUCAGUGGUAGAGUGCUCGCCUUACAUGCAUGAGGCCCUGGGUUCAAUUCCUCAGCACCA